RNAcentral lists this unclassified non-coding RNA (222 nucleotides) under air metagenome. RNAcentral's name for it is "partial contains small subunit ribosomal RNA, internal transcribed spacer 1, and 5.8S ribosomal RNA". The stretch from base 1 to 46 matches the Rfam family "Eukaryotic small subunit ribosomal RNA", at positions 1786 to 1831 of the family's 1831-position model. The record is from RNAcentral.
AAGUCGUAACAAGGUUUCCGUAGGUGAACCUGCGGAAGGAUCAUUUCCGAGUCCCGUGCCCCCCGUGGCCGGUCCUCCCACCCGUGCCUAGUGUGCCCUGUUGCUUCGGCGGUUCCCCCGCCGAGCGCCAUCCUUAAGCUCUUGUUGCCGUGUCGCGUCGUCCGAGCACACUGUCGAUUGACGAACAAAAAAAAACUUUCAACAACGGAUCUCUUGGUUCUG